Molecule: ribosomal RNA, 468 nt
Filed under: uncultured bacterium
Lineage: Bacteria
Description: partial 16S ribosomal RNA
Rfam family: Bacterial small subunit ribosomal RNA
Source: RNAcentral
GAUGAACGCUGGCGGCGUGCCUAACACAUGCAAGUCGAGCGAUUCUCUUCGGAGAAGAGCGGCGGACGGGUGAGUAACGCGUGGGUAACCUGCCCUGUCCACACGGAUAACAUACCGAAAGGUAUGCUAAUACGAGAUAAUAUACUUUUAUCGCAUGGUAGACGUAUCAAAGCUUUUGCGGUACAGGAUGGACCCGCGUCUGAUUAGCUAGUUGGUAAGGUAAGGGAUUACCAAGGCGACGAUCAGUAGCCGACCUGAGCGGGUGAUCGGCAACCUAGGAACUGAGACACGGUCCAAACUCCUACGGGAGGCAGCAGUGGGGAAUAUUGCACAAUGGGCGAAAGCCUGAUGCAGCAACGCCGCGUGAGCGAUGAAGGCCUUCGGGUCAUAAAGCUCUGUCCUCAAGGAAGAUAAUGACGGUACUUGAGGAGGAAGCCCCGGCUAACUACGUGCCAGCCGCCGCCGUAA